CGCUUGGUAAUUGCAGAAGAUUAUCAGCUGUUGUGAAUAUCGCAAGUGUUGGAUCGCAAUUCAUAUAUUGAAUUGAGAAAGCUAAAACGUUUGAAAGAAAAGCCCACAUGUACCAUGGCAUAAUAUAAUAAAAACAGAAAACUCACGUCAUUGAUGAGUAAGGUCAGAAAACAGCUGUUUCAAACAAUUGAGAGGCAAUUUU
Molecule: long non-coding RNA, 202 nt
Organism: Ceratitis capitata (Mediterranean fruit fly)
Lineage: Eukaryota; Metazoa; Arthropoda; Insecta; Diptera; Tephritidae
Exons: 3
Source: RefSeq, a predicted model, not a curated record